UACAGAGGGUGCGAGCGUUAAUCGGAAUUACUGGGCGUAAAGCGCACGUAGGCGGCGCACUAAGUUGGAUGUGAAAUCCCCGGGCUUAACUUGGGAAUUGCAUUCAAGACUGGUGUGCUGGAGUGUGGGGGAGAGAAGUGGAAUUCCAGGAGUAGCGGUGAAAUGCGUAGAUACCUGGAGGAACAUCAGUGGCGAAGGCGGCUUCUUGGCCCAACACUGACGCUGAGGUGCGAAAGCGUGGGGAUCAAACAGG
Molecule: ribosomal RNA, 253 nt
Filed under: uncultured bacterium
Lineage: Bacteria
Description: partial 16S ribosomal RNA
Rfam family: Bacterial small subunit ribosomal RNA
Source: RNAcentral